Molecule: ribosomal RNA, 512 nt
Filed under: Boophis picturatus
Lineage: Eukaryota; Metazoa; Chordata; Amphibia; Anura; Mantellidae
Description: partial 16S ribosomal RNA
Rfam family: Bacterial large subunit ribosomal RNA (bases 1-389)
Source: RNAcentral
ACUAAGUGAGCUACUUUAAAAUAGCCCAAGAGCCAACCCGUCUCUGUUGCAAAAGAGUGGGAAAAUUUUUAAGUAGGGGUGAUAUACCUAUCGAACUUAGAGAUAGCUGGUUUUUUAAGAAAAGGAUUUCAGUUCUAUUUUAAACUUUUAUGUUAAUCAAAAAUAUACUUGAGUUUAAAAGUUAUUCAAAUAAGGCACAGCUUAUUUGAGACAGGGUACAACCUAAAGCCCAGGGUACGACAAACAAAUUUUGAUAAGUGGGCCUAAAAGCAGCCAUCUUUCAGAAAGCGUCAAAGCUUAGUGACACUAUUUAUUUAAUAACCACACUUACUUCUAACCCUCACCCGCUAUUAAAAAACCCCAUAAAACUAUGGGAGCUAUUAUGCUAGAACAAGUAACAAGAAAUAGAUUUUCUCCAAAAUGUAAGCUUAAGCCAUAAUAGACACCCUAAUGGCAAUUAACACUUAUAAAUUUAUUGUAAUAACCUCAACAAGAAAACUUUACAUUUUAUA